This 1563-nucleotide ribosomal RNA is filed under the name Actinomycetes bacterium. Its description in RNAcentral is "bacterial SSU rRNA". It matches the Rfam family "Bacterial small subunit ribosomal RNA". Lineage: Bacteria; Bacillati; Actinomycetota; Actinomycetes. The record is from RNAcentral.
UUAACGGAGAGUUUGAUCCUGGCUCAGGACGAACGCUGGCGGCGUGCUUAACACAUGCAAGUCGAGCGAGGUGUACCAUGAACUAAAGGGAGCUUGCUCCUGAUAGGGAUUGGAUUCUACACCUAGCGGCGAACGGGUGCGUAACACGUGGAUAAUCUGCCCUAAAGUCUGGGAUAGCCUCGGGAAACCGGGAUUAAUACCGGAUAAGCUCACGAAUCUAUUGUUUUGUGAGAAAAGCUCUUAGCGCUUUAGGAUGAGUCCGCGGCCGAUUAGCUUGUUGGUAGGGUAACGGCCUACCAAGGCUACGAUCGGUAGCUGGCCUGAGAGGGUGGCCAGCCACACUGGGACUGAGACACGGCCCAGACUCCUACGGGAGGCAGCAGUGGGGAAUAUUGCGCAAUGGGCGAAAGCCUGACGCAGCAACGCCGCGUGGGGGAUGAAGGUUUUCGGAUUGUAAACCCCUGUCAGAAGGGAAGAAGCUCACAAGGUGACGGUACCUUCAGAGGAAGCCCCGGCUAACUACGUGCCAGCAGCCGCGGUAAUACGUAGGGGGCAAGCGUUGUCCGGAUUUAUUGGGCGUAAAGCGUCCGUAGGCGGCUUAUCAGGUGGAUUGUGAAAUCCCACGGCUCAACCGUGGGCGGCCAGUCCAAACCGGUAGGCUAGAGUCAAGUAGGGGGAGAUGGAACUCCAGGUGUAGCGGUGAAAUGCGCAGAUAUCUGGAGGAACACCGGUAGCGAAGGCGGUCUCCUGGGCUUGUACUGACGCUGAGGGACGAAAGCUAGGGGAGCAAACAGGAUUAGAUACCCUGGUAGUCCUAGCUGUAAACGAUGGAUACUAGGUGUUGGGGGUUAUCGACGCCCUCGGUGCCGCAGCUAACGCAUUAAGUAUCCCGCCUGGGGAGUACGGUCGCAAGACUAAAACUCAAAGGAAUUGACGGGGGCCCGCACAAGCGGUGGAGCAUGUGGCUCAAUUCGACGCAACGCGAAGAACCUUACCAGGGCUUGACAUAUAUGGAAAUCCCUUUCGAAAGUCAGGGGUGUCUUCGGACGUCAUAUACAGGUGGUGCACGGUUGUCGUCAGCUCGUGUCGUGAGAUGUUGGGUUAAGUCCCGCAACGAGCGCAACCCCUAUCUUAUGUUGCCAGCAGUUCGGCUGGGCACUCAUAAGAGACUGCCCCGGUCAACGGGGAGGAAGGCGGGGAUGACGUCAAAUCAUCAUGCCCCUUAUGUCCUGGGCUGCACACGUGCUACAAUGGCCGGUACAAUGGGCUGCGAUGGGGUGACCCUGAGCGAAUCCCUUAAAACCGGUCCCAGUUCGGAUUGGAGUCUGCAACUCGACUCCAUGAAGUUGGAAUCGCUAGUAAUCGCGGAUCAGCAACGCCGCGGUGAAUACGUUCCCGGGCCUUGUACACACCGCCCGUCACACCACGAAAGUUGGUAACACCCGAAGCCGGUGGCCUAACCUUUUGGAAGGAGCCGUCGAAGGUGGGACCAGCGAUUGGGGUGAAGUCGUAACAAGGUAGCCGUACCGGAAGGUGCGGCUGGAUCACCUCCUUUCUAAGGAG